Long non-coding RNA from Nycticebus coucang (slow loris), 120 nucleotides. RefSeq lists it as uncharacterized. NCBI's taxonomy places the organism in Eukaryota, Metazoa, Chordata, Mammalia, Primates, Lorisidae. The transcript has a single exon. The record is from RefSeq and is a predicted model, not a curated record.
AUGUAUUUGGGAGAUAGUCACGUCCUGUUGAAUACCUUGUGCUGGUGCUGCCAUCGAAAAAUCUGGUUACACUCUGGGGAGGCCUGCUACCACUGCAGGACUGAGCCACCUCGGCAGUGA